This 854-nucleotide ribosomal RNA is filed under the name uncultured crenarchaeote. Its description in RNAcentral is "bacterial SSU rRNA". It matches the Rfam family "Archaeal small subunit ribosomal RNA", at positions 37 to 897 of the family's 1478-position model. The record is from RNAcentral. RNAcentral also lists the same sequence under 1 other name. Lineage: Archaea; Thermoproteati; Thermoproteota.
GAUGAUACUAAGCCAUGCGAGUCAUNNNAGCAAUGCAAGGCAGACGGCUCAGUAACGCGUAGUCAACCUGCCCUAUGGACGGGAAUAAUCUCGGGAAACUGAGGCUAAUUCCAGAUAGAACACUAUGCCUGGAACGGCUUGUGUUCCAAACGAUUUAUCGCCGUAGGAUGGGACUGCGGCCUAUCAGUUUGUUGGUGAGGUAAUGGCCCACCAAGACUAUUACAGGUACGGGCUCUGAGAGGAGUAGCCCGGAGAUGGGUACUGAGACACGGACCCAGGCCCUAUGGGGCGCAGCAGGCGAGAAAACUUUGCAAUGUGCGAAAGCACGACAAGGUUAAUCCGAGUGGUUCCUGCUAAGGGAACCUUUUGACGGUCCUAAAAACACCGUUGAAUAAGGGGUGGGCAAGUUCUGGUGUCAGCCGCCGCGGUAAAACCAGCACCUCAAGUGGUCAGGAUGAUUAUUGGGCCUAAAGCAUCCGUAGCCGGCUCUAUCAGUUUUCGGUUAAAUCUGUGCGCUCAACGUACAGGCUGCCGGGAAUACUGUAGAGCUAGGGAGUGGGAGAGGUAGACGGUACUCGGUAGGAAGGGGUAAAAUCCUUUGAUCUAUCGAUGACCACCUGUGGCGAAGGCGGUCUACCAGAACACGUCCGACGGUGAGGGAUGAAAGCUGGGGGAGCAAACCGGAUUAGAUACCCGGGUAGUCCCAGCUGUAAACUAUGCAAACUCAAUGAUGCACUGGCUUGAAGCCAAUGCAGUGUUGCAGGGAAGCCGUUAAGUUUGCCGCCUGGGAAGUACGUACGCAAGUAUGAAACUUAAAGGAAUUGGCGGGGGAGCACCACAAGGGGGAAGCCUCG